Molecule: RNA transcript, 1620 nt
Organism: Rhinopithecus roxellana (golden snub-nosed monkey)
Lineage: Eukaryota; Metazoa; Chordata; Mammalia; Primates; Cercopithecidae
Gene name: spermatogenesis- and oogenesis-specific basic helix-loop-helix-containing protein 2 pseudogene
Exons: 1
Source: RefSeq, a predicted model, not a curated record
UGCUGGAAGGCUGCCCCAGGACCCAGCACGUGCGCAGCGGCAAUGGCUUCCUCAAUUAUCUGCCAGGAGCACGGCCAGAUCUCGGGCCAGGCAAAAAUAGACGUCUUAUUAGUUGGAGAUGUCACUGUGGGCUACCUGGCUGAUACUGUACAGAAACUGUUCGCAAACAUAGCAGAAGUCACCAUCACCAUCAGUGACAUGAAGGAGGCAGUAGCGCUUUUGGAUGAUUGCACAUUCAACAUGGUUUUCUUGAAGAUGCCUUCUUCACUAAGUGCUGAGGAGCUGGAAGCCAUCAACUUAAUUAGAUUUGGCAAAAAGAAAAAUACACAUUCACUGUUUGUUUUUAUAAUCCCUGAAAAUUUUACAGGUUGUAUUUCAGGGCAUGGAACUGAUAUUGCUUUAACUGAACCACUGACAAUGGAAAAAAUGAGUAAUGUGGUAAAAUACUGGAAAACAUGUCUCUCAAACACAGUUAAGAUUGAAAAUGCCGCUGGGCCUGAAGAACCUGGAUUGCCCCUGCAGAGGCCUUACAGUGAACACCUGGGAUAUUUUCCUACUGAUCUAUUUGCCUGCCCUGAAUCUUUAAGGAAUGGCAGUGGGCUUGAAUUAAAUGCUUCGUUGUCAGAGUUCGAGAAAAACAAAAAGAUUUCUCUUCUUCAUUCAAGCAAGGAAAAACUAAGAAGAGAAAGAAUCAAAUAUUGCUGCGAGCAGCUGCGUACGCUCUUGCCGUACGUAAAGGGGAGAAAGAAUGACGCGGCUUCAGUUCUUGAGGCAACAGUUGAUUAUGUGAAAUAUAUCCGGGAGAAAAUCUCUCCAGCCAUUAUGGCCCAGAUUACAGAAGCACUUCAGAGCAACAGGAGGUUUUGUAAGAAACAGCAAACAAACAUCCAGCUGUCUGUCCCAGGCACCGUCAUGGCACAGCGGGAAAAUAGUGUGACGAGCACUUACUCCCCUGAGAGAGGGCUCCGGUUCCUGACUAAUACGUGCUGGAAUGGGUGCUCCGCCCCUGACGCAGAGGGCUCCUUGGAUGAAGCUGUGAGAGUUCCGUCAGGCUCCACCUCAGAGAAUGCUAUUGGUGAUCCAUAUAAAACUCACAUUCCCAGUGCAGCGCUCUCUCUGAAUUCCUUGCAUACUGUCAGAUAUUGUUCUAAAGUCACCCCUUCCUACGAUGCAACUGCCGUAACAAAUCAGAACAUUUCAAUUCAUUUACCUUCAGCCGUGUCCCCGGUCUCAAAGCUUCUCCCUCAGCACUGUACUUCUGGGUUGAGCCAGACGUGCACUACACAUCCCAACUGUCUGCAACAGUUUUGGGCAUAUUAAAAGCACAUGUUUGAAAUUCACACUCUCAACCACCUACUGGGCGCAGUUUGACAAUCUAGGAAAAGUGGAACAAAGAAUGAUUUUGAAAGCUCCACCCAAAGACCUAAUAUCAAAAGAGUUGGCAUGGUUUGGCUUCUGAUAAAUGCACUCAAAGCUUCUGCAGAUAGAAAGACCAGCAGCGAAAAAGCUGGCCGCACACUGUCACUCAUCUUCAUACACACUUGGAUCCCCGCCAGCCAGAGAGCUACGAGAACAAAUGGCCUCAGUGACCUACACUCUUUCUUCUCAAAAAAUAUUCCA